CAGCAAGGUAAUGAACAACUAUUAAUUCUAUAUUAGUAUUUUUAGGAAACAGAAAAAAAGAAUAAAGCAUUGGUUCAUGGGUUAAUGUGUAUUGAAACAAAAUGCAUUGUUCUGAGCUUACAAGCACAUACUAAGGAAAUGAACACUUCGGGCAUUUAUAUUUUAUUUCUGAUUCGUUGCAUAUUGAACAAGUUGUCAUGAUAGCGUUUAAAUUUUUCUAAUGUAUUAGAGGAGAAACCUUUUUUUUUAGACAAGCUCAAACAAAAUAAGAUUAAAGGGAGAAGAGCAAUAGAGUAACGUCAAACCUUGCUAGUUCAAAA
Schizosaccharomyces pombe (fission yeast) is the source of this 320-nucleotide non-coding RNA. The record is from the annotation of a GenBank genome assembly. Lineage: Eukaryota; Fungi; Ascomycota; Schizosaccharomycetes; Schizosaccharomycetales; Schizosaccharomycetaceae.